AACGAACGCUGGCGGCGUGGAUAAGACAUGCAAGUCGAACGCUGAUUUCAGGGUAGCAAUAUUCUGAAGUCGGAGUGGCGCAAGGGUGCGUAACACGUGGGUAAUUUGCCAUGAAGCCCGGAAUAACUCGCUGAAAGGCGAGCUAAUACCGGAUGUGAUCUUUGGGAGGCAUCUCCUGAACCUCAAAGCUGGGGACCGUAAGGCCUGGCACUUCUUGAUAAGCCCGCGGCCUAUCAGCUAGUUGGUGAGGUAACGGCUCACCAAGGCUAAGACGGGUAGCUGGUCUGAGAGGACGACCAGUCACACUGGAACUGAGACACGGUCCAGACACCUACGGGUGCAGCAGUCGAGAAUUUUUCNCAAUGGGCGAAAGCCUGAAGGAGCGACGCCGC
This 392-nucleotide ribosomal RNA is filed under the name uncultured bacterium. RNAcentral describes it as "bacterial SSU rRNA". It matches the Rfam family "Bacterial small subunit ribosomal RNA", at positions 29 to 400 of the family's 1533-position model. The record is from RNAcentral.